GCUGGGCGUGGUGGCGUGCGCCUGUAAUCCCAGCUACUCAGGAGGCUGAGGCAGGAGAAUCGCUGGAACCCAGGAGGCAGAGGUUGCAGUGAGCUGAGAUCGUGCCACUGCACUCCAGCCUGGGUGACAGAGUGAGAGACAGCCUCUA
This is an unclassified non-coding RNA of Callithrix jacchus (white-tufted-ear marmoset), 148 nucleotides long. It matches the Rfam family "Metazoan signal recognition particle RNA". Rfam says of the family: The signal recognition particle (SRP) is a universally conserved ribonucleoprotein. It is involved in the co-translational targeting of proteins to membranes. The eukaryotic SRP consists of a 300-nucleotide 7S RNA and six proteins: SRPs 72, 68, 54, 19, 14, and 9. Lineage: Eukaryota; Metazoa; Chordata; Mammalia; Primates; Cebidae. The record is from Ensembl.